Long non-coding RNA from Chroicocephalus ridibundus (black-headed gull), 585 nucleotides. RefSeq lists it as uncharacterized. NCBI's taxonomy places the organism in Eukaryota, Metazoa, Chordata, Aves, Charadriiformes, Laridae. The transcript has 3 exons. The record is from RefSeq and is a predicted model, not a curated record.
GCACCGGUGGGUGUCCGACGUCCCCGGUGGCGAUGGAGGAGGGGCUCCGGCCUCUGGGUUCGCCCCCCCGGGGCCGUUGCUGCCUUGGCAGCUCUUUGGAACCAAGGAUCCUGUCCCAAGCAAUGUGGAAGCACAAGCAUCAUCUCUUACCUGUAUAGGGAUCAACCCCACCCACUGGAGCUACUGCAUUUGAUGCUGAACCAGGAACAUAGCGACCAGCACCUGAACGGAGACAUUAGGCUUUUUAAACACCACCACUGGUAAAGAGAUCUAUCUGUGCCUUGCCCUCAGUCGUUUGAGGACAUUAAAGUGUGGAGGAGCUACAACACUGAAAUCUGCCUGAAGCACACAGUGAGGUGGACUGAAAACUGUCUGAACAGCCAGACCCAGAGGGUGGUGAUCAGUGGCACACCACCUAGUUGGAGGCCAGCUGCUGGUGGUGUACGCCAGGGGUCAGUACUGCGUCCACUCCUGUUCAACAUCUUCAUCAACAAUCUGGAAGACUGGCCAGAGCACAACCUCAGCGAGUUUGCUGAUAACAUGGAACUGAGACGAGUGACUGAUGUCAUCAUUUAAGUUUAUAAU